RNAcentral lists this long non-coding RNA (709 nucleotides) under Homo sapiens (human). RNAcentral describes it as "HSALNT0098665". The record is from RNAcentral. Lineage: Eukaryota; Metazoa; Chordata; Mammalia; Primates; Hominidae.
GAAACACUGAGGGGAUGGAUGGGCCACACCUGAGCAUCCCCAGGACCGAGGAAAACACUGAGGGGCUGGAUAGGCCACACCUGAGCAUCCUCAGGACUGAGGGAAACACUGAGGGGGUGGAUGGACCACACUUGAGUGACCCCAGGACAGAGGGAAACACUGACGGGAUGGAUGGGCCACAUCUGAGAGUUCCCAGGGCCGACAUAAAAAACCUAUUGGGAUAGACCAAACCUGUGAGUCCCCAGGGUGCAGUAAACACUAAAUUAAUAGACCACACCUGAGGGUCUCGAGGACCGAGGUAAAACACUCAGGGGAUGGAUGGGCCAUAUCUGAGGGCCCCCAGGACAAAGGUAAACAAUAAGGGGAUGGGCCACACCUCAGGGUCCCCAGGACAGAGGUAAACACUAAGCGGAUGGAUGAACCACAACUGAGAUUCCCCAGAAUAGAGAUAAAACACUUUGGGGAUCGACCACAUCUGAGGGGCCCAAGGCAGAGGUAAACACUAAAGAAAUGGAUGGACCACACCUAAGGGUUCCCAGGAUAGAUGUAAACACUAAUGGGACGGAUAGACCACACCUGAGAGUCUCGAGGACAAUGGAAAAACACUAAUGGGAUGGAUUGACCACAACUGAGGGUCCCCAGGACAGAGGUAAACACUAAUGGGAUGGAUAGACCACACCUCAGGGUCUCCAGGACAGAGGUAAAAACC